This 73-nucleotide microRNA precursor is filed under the name Caenorhabditis japonica. RNAcentral's name for it is "mir-49 microRNA precursor family". It matches the Rfam family "mir-49 microRNA precursor family". The record is from Rfam by way of RNAcentral. Lineage: Eukaryota; Metazoa; Nematoda; Chromadorea; Rhabditida; Rhabditidae.
UUCCAUCCGCAGUUUUUUUGUGCUGUGCUCCGAACCCGAGUGGUCGAAGCACCACGAGAAGCUGCAGAUGGGA